RNAcentral lists this ribosomal RNA (1302 nucleotides) under Aeschrocoris ceylonicus. RNAcentral's name for it is "16S ribosomal RNA". The stretch from base 860 to 1223 matches the Rfam family "Archaeal large subunit ribosomal RNA", at positions 2154 to 2712 of the family's 2987-position model. Lineage: Eukaryota; Metazoa; Arthropoda; Insecta; Hemiptera; Pentatomidae. The record is from RNAcentral.
UUUACUUAUUAUUUAUUAUAUAUAAUUAGUCACAUAUGUAUUUUAAUAGAAAUAACUUAAUUUUUAGUAUUAUUUUAUUGAAUAAAUAUUUAUAUUAUGAUAGUUUAUUUUACUGUGAAGGUUUAUUUUAAUUAUGGUUAAAGUAGAAUUUUAUUUUUGUACCUUUUGUAUCAGGGUUUAUUAAGAUAUAAUAUUUACAUAUAUGUUUCCCGAAAUUAAAAGAGAUAUUAUUAAUAAGUUGAUAUAUAAUGUUUUAUAAUUAUUGUUAAAUUAAUAAUAGAAGAGAUAUUCUAUUCAUUUUUAAAUAUCUGGUUUCCUAAGAAUUGAAUUUAAUUCAGGUUUAAGCAGGAUUAACUUAUAAAAAAAUUUUAUUUUUUAAAGUUUAUUUAAACUAAUAUUAAAGGGGAUAAGCUCUUUAUUAUUUUUAUGAUUUUAUGUAAUUUAUGUUGAUAAGUUUUAGUAGGAUUAGUAAUUUCCGUCAUUUUAAUUUUUAAUAAUUAAUCUUAUCAUGUGUUUUAUUUUAAUUAAAUCUAGUUUUUUAUUGGGAAUGUUAAUUUAUUUUUUGAUUUAAAGUUAUUUUGAUAGAAUUAGUAUAUUUAGUGAAUUAAUAUAUAGUAACUCGGCAAUUUUUAAUCUUCACCUGUUUAUCAAAAACAUGUCUUGGCGAGUUUUAAUGUUAAGUCUGGCCUGCUCAAUGAUUACAAUUAAUUAAAUAGCCGCAGUAUUUUGACUGUGCGAAGGUAGCAUAAUCAUUUGUCUUUUAAUUGAAGGCUUGUAUGAAUGGUUUGAUGAAAGAUUGACUUUCUUUAUAUUAAAUAUUGAAUUUAAUUUUUAAGUUAAAAAGCUUAAAUUUUUAAGUGGGACGAGAAGACCCUAUAGAAUUUUAUUUCUAUAUAUUGUAUUAUUUAUUUGGUGGAGUUGUUAAAUUCUACAAUAAUAGAAAUUUUGUUGGGGUGACAGGAGGAUUUAAUAAACUCCUUUUAUUUAUUAUUAAUAUUGAUUGAUAUAUUUAAGAUCCUUUAUUUUGGAUAUAAAGAUUAAAUUACCUUAGGGAUAACAGCGUAAUUUCAUUGGAGAGUUCUUAUCGAUAGUGAAGAUUGCGACCUCGAUGUUGGAUUAAAAUAAGAAUUAAGUGCAGAAGCUUAAUUUUCUAGGUCUGUUCGACCUUUAAAGUUUUACAUGAUCUGAGUUCAGACCGGCGUAAGCCAGGUCGGUUUCUAUCUUUUUAGUUAUAUAUGCUUUUUAGUACGAAAGGACCAAGAGCAUUAAUUAUUUUAUUAAAUUUAUAUGUAUAACCUUAAU